RNAcentral lists this long non-coding RNA (26953 nucleotides) under Homo sapiens (human). RNAcentral's name for it is "non-protein coding lnc-ATP6V1G3-4:16". The record is from RNAcentral. Lineage: Eukaryota; Metazoa; Chordata; Mammalia; Primates; Hominidae.
AGAACUGCAGAUAGUACAGCUUCCACAGGAGCAAGGGAUGUCUGAGCACAAGUGGCUGAGUUCCGAGUGACUUUAUGAAGCACUUUCUACCUUCCUCUCCGGCAUGAAAACAGGGAUUCUGCACCUGCAUCAUGGACAGUCUGGCAAAAGCCUCUGCUCUGCCUCCGGGGACAAGAAACUAGAGCAAAUAACCGUUUUGAAAUUAUCUCAUUUUCAAGAAAUGAAGCUUUCAUUAGUACUUUCCUACAAAAGCAAGAUAAUUUACUGAUGCUCUGACAAUCAUACACAGAGCUCAUUGUUCUCUGAAAUAUAUACACCAAAUUUUUCCUGUUUGAUUCAUCUAAAGACUAGUACAUUGUGCUCUCAUGGAGCCAAAGAAAGGAGGAGAGAUUUUAUUCCUACCAGAGAUCCUGGCAAAAUUACCAACAAUCAAUGAUGGAAACUGAAGGGAGAUUGAUUUAAAUCUUCAAUGACAGUUGUACAGAAGUUGAAGAAACACGUCAUCUUUCCAAAGAAGAGUGAGUAGCUUGGUUGGUGGUACCCUAAAAUUAGGGCAUGAUUAAGGUACGUCAUUUCUUUUAGUUCAAUCAAAGUGCUUUGCUGUUUCCAUUUCAGAGAAUUUCUUAUUCUUUUUUUCAAUUUCUCUCUCUUCCUCUUCUUCCUCUCAUUAGUAGAUGUCUUUUAUAAUUGAUGUCAUUUACUGUCCUUUCAUCAAAUGUAUGCCACAUCACUUAGGCGAACCAGCAGACAGGGCACCAAAAUACACAUUAGAGGAGACUGGCUUCCAUGAGACGCUUCGACUGUCUCAUCGGGGCACUUGUAAUAAGCAUCUUGGUGCCACUGAAUGCAAUGCUGUAUUCAAAUAAUAGCUUUCAUCUUCACUCUUUUUAAAUAUAAAAGUAAACCUUGAAGCCCUUUGAAGGACCUAACCAAACAACAUACCUAUGAAAAUAGAUCAGUAAGGCUUUGAGAAACAUUCUUAAGUAAAAUCUGUAAAGCAUCUUUGCAUUUUUUUUCAAGAAAGACCUCCAGGUAAAUGAUGGCUUUUAAUAAGACACAUGACAAUCUCAAUUACAAGAAUCAUUAGUGUGUGUCCUGUGCGCCAUUUUAUGUUCCCAGCAGGAUAUAUCUUUUCUCGUCUAGGGUUUCCAGGGCUGUCUACUGUUCUCUAUGUGUAAAACGUAUUUAAGUGUUCCCCCAAUGCUGCACUAAUGUUGAAACAAAACAAAACAAAAACGAAGAAACCUUUGUCAAGUGGUCAGACAGACUGGAACUAGAGGAUUAUAGGUAAGAGAGAUAAAAUGAAGGGUUGAAAGCUAUAAUUUCUAUUUAUGUGGUGGCAACCAAAUCAGCUGUUGGAGUCAGGCAAUUUAAAGAUGUGGCUACUGGAGCUCAGAGUCUGGGAAGAAGACACUUCUGCGUCUGACAGUGAAUCAGGCUCCCAGUUUUGAAGAUGUGCUGUAGGUAGUUCUCGCUGAAUCCAUUUCCCAGUUGGUUUCUAUUCCCCGCCCCAUUCCUGUGUCCCCACACUUUCCACUUGAUUUUACCUCUUUGACAAUUCUAUAUUUUACUUUCCUUCCUCUCAUUCCCCUUUUCCCACCCCCUUUUUUUACUGUAGUUCUUGGCCUCUGACUACUGUUCCAUGCUGGAUGUCCCCAGAAAAUAGAGUAUGUUUAGAAAGGAGACAGUGCAUCUCAGAAGGGCCUCCCCAGUCCACUAGUCCAUUUUUUAAUGUGUUGUGCUCUAUGGGUGUCAGGAAUAUUUGUAGAUGAAGUAAUUUGUGGCAUGAAUUUUGAUAGAAGCAGGAUCACCAACAAAAUGAUAAAUGUAGGUACCUGUCUACCUUGCAUAAUAUUCACUAUGAUCUUGAGAAUUUCAAUGUAUAAUUUGUCUUUAUUCUUAUUUUUCAUUAGAAUUAACAGAAUCUCAGAGCUGGUAGAAAGUAUAGAAACUGUAUAUACAACUCUCAUAUUCAGAUGAAGAAAAUGAUGCACAAAAAAUCAACUGUCCUAAGCCAUUCAGCUUGUCUAUAAGUGCUGUUGGCUUAAUUAUAGUUUUGCAUAUAUUUAGGCAAAGAAAAUACUUUCUCAGAAACUGGUUAGGACUGUUUGAGAAGAAAUAUAAUCAUCAAAAUAUAUACACAGUAAAAUGUAACCGUCCAUCAUUCAACAUAGGCAAGAAUAUAUAUUGAAUUGCCUGAGUGUAUUAUUCGUAUAGCAAAACUUACUUGAAUUUCUAAUAAAUCUUCUGACCUCUGUAUAUGUAUAAAAUAUAUAAACCAACCAAAUUCUGUACAUAAAUAUAUUUUUGGAUACCAGUACAAUCCCUAUUUCACUUUUGUGUAUUCCAGUUAUUUAUUACUCACAGUUCUGUAGUUUUAACCAGAACAAAGGGAUUACCCAGAAGAAAAGAAGGUAAGCUAUUUCAUCAGUUUUGGUGGAAAUCAGAAGUUUUUUUUUCUAUUAUUAGCUUUGUAUUCUUAAAAAAGAAAAAAGAAGGAGAAAAAAAAUCUCAUCUUCUCAUUUAUAAGAAUUCCCAUAAAAUUUGGCAGUGGUGAGGUGGGGAGGAAAUGCAUUAUCAAUAAACAGCUAGAUCCUAUUAUUGGAGACAAUCAGUUUUAUUCUGCAGAAAAUAUAGUUUGUUCUUGAAGAUUUAAUAGAUAUAAUAUUUUUUAAACCAACAUAUUAAAUAUACCAGUAAAUAUUUUUGUUAAACAAGGCUUUUAAAAUUUAAAUUAUACCCCUAAACUGGCUUUCUAGUUUUUCUGGAGAAAUAAAGAAAUUUUAAAGGAAAUAUCCACUCAGAUUAAUACUGCAAAUAUCAUACAAAAAUGUGUGUGGUGAUAUUACUGAAAAUGAGGAUUUUUGAAAACUAGAAGAGCAAAAAGUCGUUGCUCCAAAAGGCUUCAAGACUGCCUUAGGAUUAACAAUGCAAGUCUUCAAUGUAUUUAGGUAAUCAUAAUUUGAUUAGCUUUCUAAACCUAAACAUAUUUUGAUUCAAAUGUUUAAAAUAUGGUCAUCUCUUCAGUUAAAGAUGAACAUUUUGAUGAAAUAACAAUACUUAAAGCGUUCUCCGUCUCCACAAUUAAGUGCUACCUGUUAUUUAUUCAGAGCAUAUGUUUCAGUCUCAAAACACCAAGGACACAUCUCAGUGAAAUAAAAAUAAUCACUUUUUUUAAGAAAUCAGAAUCAUGUGGCAGUCGGCAGGCUUAAUUUAUAUUUUAUGGUCUCCAAAUUCAGAUGAAUAUCAUCAAGAUCUGAAUUGUCUCAAUGGCUGUCAUAAUUUAAAUAAUAAUAUAUCAAAAAUAUACACUACUAUCAUAUAAUUAAUUUGUAUAUAUGGAAAAUUGAAUUCUCUUAGCCAAAAAAGUACAGGGAAAUCAUCACAAAGGAGGAUGAACAUGAUUAUUUUUUCCUGUUACUUCUAUAGACUUCUCUGUAACAACUGAUAUGAAGAUAUCAUCAGAGUUUGUAGGGGUGCAGUAUCUGUGGUGUUAAUAAAGGUAUCUAUAAUCAAAUAUAGCAGAAAUAAUUAGGCUUCACGCCAAUUGCCUUUCCUAGAAUCUUCAGGGACAGGAAGUGCAGCUGUGUAUCACCUGCCCAUAUUCUACAAAUAGCACUGAAGGACAUAACUCAAUGAAACUUGAAAUCAGAUUGCACAAAAAUACAUUAUUCCCAAUUUUCUAUUUUUAUAUUGCUAGAUAAAUUGUAAAUUCACAGCAACAUUUGUCUACUGUUAUCUUUAUGUUGCAAAAUUACACUAAAUUUUGAGUGACAUCUUUAGCCAGGGGAGCCUAGAAACAUCCUUUGGCUAAAAAAUAAAAAGGUUAUAAUGUACAGUAGAGAAAACAUUUCUAGAAAAUAUGCCUUUCACUGUGCCUUUAAAAACCAAGAAUUUUUUAAAGGCACAGUGAAAGGUAUAUUUUGAUCAACAGCUUAUAUUGUUUAGAAAUUUGGCUGUGGUUUAGUAUUUUGUCAACUAAUUGUCAAUCACAAAGAAAAUUUAGAAAGAGAUGAAAUAGAAAUAAAAGUCUUAUUAGGAAUAGUAAUUAUAUAGAUAGUGAAAUUACUACUUUUUUUAUAAGGAGCAGUAAUUUCAUAAUGUAAUAACUUCCUUUUCAGUAAAAGAAAGUGAUUAACAAAGCUGAACAUUCACACAAGGCAAUGUACCACAUAAUUCAAAAUGCCAGUGCAAAAAUGUUAGUUAGUCAAUAAAGAUUCAAUGCUUGUCUGUAAUAAUUAGUCAUAGUUUCUGCACUUAGAAGGAAAGCUCUCCCCAGGAGUUGAGAAUUAGAGUGGAAGUGGAGAUUUUGAGUAUAAGAAAAGUGAAUUUCACUCAUGUUGCAGGGUUACACUGCUGUGAUGGAAGGCUUUCAUUUUUCAAGUAGGAAACAUGGAAAUUACAGUAACUAUGGCCAAUUCAUAUUGGCCUAGAGAACACUUUAUUUUUCUCUGGGCCCGAAUUUCUCAACAGGUGCCACUAUUGAUAUUUUGGACCAGAUAAUUCUUUGUCCUGAGGAAAUUUGCUGUGCAUUGGAGGAUUUUUAUCAGCAUUAUUGACCUCUCCCCAGUAGAUGCCAAUAGUAUCCCCUCCCACUAUGGUGAUAUCCAUAUAUUGCCGAAUGUUCCCUUGAGAACAAAAUCUGCUUAGACUAUUUGUCUAGGCAAUUUUGCUUUCUUCAUUUAUCUUUAUGCAAAAUUAGUUUGAUUGGUUAUUUGCAUUCACAUUAAUAGGAAUUUUGCACAGAGAAAGUUUAUGUAAUAAGUUAAGAAUAGCUCUACAAUGCAAAUGUUUCUGCAGGAUAUAAAAAUAAGAAUCGCAAUGGUACAUUCAUCUCUUGAAAUAUUUGCUACACAACACAUGUUGAAUGUUGAAAGAUGUUGAAUGUAGGCUCUUAUUUUGUGCCUUAUUUGAAAAUUUGCAGUGCAAAUAAGGUAAAUAGAUGCAAAAUGUUUGCCUUUGGGUAUGAAAAAGUUUUCUUGUGUAUUAUAGUUAAAUAUGGUAAUAGGUUUUUAGAGGUAACUUUCUGUGGCAGUGAACAAAACAAGACCCUACUAUGAUGAUUCUACAUGGAGCUGAUUUUAACAGAAGAGUAGCCUUCAUUGUGCCUUUCCAUAAAUGUUGGCUUUAUCCAUGUAUUAAAGCACAGAUUUCUUGGGAGACCACAAACAUUGAGAGUGAAAGAUAAAAUCUGAAGAGAACCUGGGAAAUCAUCAUUAAAUUGAGCUGAUAAUCAUGAUAAUCAUGUCUAAAAUAUGGACUGUUAACUUUUUUUAAACUAAGAUGAGAUGGCAGAGAAGCUAUUAACUUAAUAUGCCUCUCUCUCUCUCUCUCUCUGUGUGUGUGUGUGUGUGUGUGUGUGUGUGUGUGUUUUGGUGGAAAUAAAUUGAUAAGAAAGGAAAAAAUAAUAGUCACAUGGAAGCUUAGGAGGCAAGUCAAUAACAGAGAAAUAUCUAGGUAGUAUGAAAUCUUCAGCUUUACACAAUAGAAAAAAGUAUAUUAUAUGGAAUUGAUCCAUUAUUGUUUCAAAAAUGGUGAAAGUUGUUAAACCAGUAACUUUUAGCUUAGUUUAUCUGUUAAAAAAAAGCUACAUGAACAAUUCAAGAUUUAGUAAAUGUUGAAGAUUUCCCUUCAGUAUGAAUUUAUAAAUAUCUAAUGAGUGUGUGUGUUUGUGUAUAUGGCUUCCUCAUUGAGCACCUGGAAUGACUUAGCUAAUUUGCCCUUCAUUCUUUAUGACUUUCAUGGAUAAUUUCCCAAAGCUCCUAAGGAUUAUUUAUUUAUUUAUUUAUUUAUUUACUUAUUUUUGGGACUGGUUCUCGCUCUGUUGCCCAGGCUGGAGUGCAGUGCCGUGAUUAUGGCUCAUUGCAGCCUCAACCUCCCCCACUCAGGCAAUCCUCCUACCUCAGCCUCCAUUGUAGGUGGAACCAUAGGUGUGUGCCACCACAUCCAGCUAUUUUUUAAAAAAAUUAUUUGCAGAGAUGAAAUCCUCCUGUAUUGUUCAGGCUGGUCUUGGUAUCCUGAACUCAAGUGAUCCUCCCAGUUUGGCCUCCAAAAGUGUUGGCAUUACAGGCAUGAGCCACCUCACCUCACCAGGUCACUUACUUUAAAAUUUUCUACUAGGUGAUGUGAAGGCCCCCAAAUUUAAAUAUACCAAUAUUUCUCUUUUAUUAUAUUUUUAAAAUUUGAGGUUUUAAUAAGCUAUCUAGAUCCAUGAAUAUUAAAAUAGAUUUUUCUUUUGUAGACCCAGCAUUGUUCACUGAGGAUAGAUGUGGGAUCAGUUCCUUUCAGGUAUUAAUUGUAAUGUUGCUAAACAUAUUACCAUGAAUCUGUAGUAUCAAAAUUCAGAUAUUAAACUUGGGAGGAUUUAUAGUCCAACUUGUAGUAACUAAAUAAUAAAAUGGUGGCAUGAUUAUAGUUCAAUUUUUUUCUUUAUGAAGAGCUUAGGGUAACAAUGCUUUGUUCCUGUAUGUUGCACUUUUAAAUUACAGUAAAGUGUUUCCCUGAAAACAAAUAAUAUGGCAUGCAAUAAAGGGGAAAAGUGGAUAUGAGAACUUAUCCUUGCCAGUAUAUUUGAAAUGUGACUAAACAUUUUUACAGUGAAUAUGUUCAUAUUGAAAAGAAAUUACAAUUUCCUUUAACCAAGUACUGGGUCACUAUUUCUUCCAACUUAGUUAUUGAAGAAACACUCAGCUACCAUAGAUUUGCUAGGCCGAAGUUUCUCAAACUUUAGCUGUGUCAGCAUUACUUGGGGGGUUAAUUGGAAUGCAUAUUGCUGGGCUUGAUGAUCAGAGUUUCUGAGAACUUGUGUUCCUAACAAGUUCUCCGGCGAUGCAGUAGUAUAGAGAGGCAUUGUUCUGGAGACAUGCUUAAUUUUAGGUACAACUUAUUUUGACUUGAGAACUUUCUCUUUAUUAAAAUAGCAAAGGCGGUGUAGAUGAAAAUAAAUAAAUUGUAUUCAUUUGGGUUUUCUCAUUUGCAACAGACCACAUCAGCAUUACCACUGGAAAGAAUGACUUAGGAGAGUGGUUGUUUUAAUGAGAGAUUCUUUACAUGCCAUUGAAAGACAGGAAACCUUAAAAGAAAAACAAAACUGAUAAUCAACUCCUAAAUGGGGAUUUGAAUUAGCUAAAAUCUUUUUUUUUUCAAAUGCCUACUACAAAGUCAAAGUUCAUUCUCCUAGACUAGCAAAUACUUUUUUAUCAAUAUUUGUUUAUAUUUUCCCAUAAUUAUCCUUAUUUCACCUGCCACAAAAGAAUUAAUCAUUUUAUGUCCUCAGUCUUCAGCCCUCCCUAAAGUACCCAAUAGCUCUUGUCCUUCUAUAAGUCAUCACCUACGUGUACUUUAAGACCCCGCUAAUUCAAUAAUUUUAUUUAAACGUUGAUAGGAUUCUAUUAAAUUUAAGGUAUAUUAUUAAUUAAACUAGAGGACAUCUGCUGUAGUGAAUAAAUUAUCCAUGAUUUAAAAGCAAAAUUCAAAGGUAGACAAGGCCACCUGCGGCCAUAGAGGCUGUGUAACUUCAGAAAGAACACUUAUGAGUUAAUGAUAGGAAUGGCACUCUCUGGAAUUGUACAAUCCAGUGUGCCUUAGUCAGAUAUAAUAGGUCAGGUUUAGCAAGACAGGCAUAAAGUUCUAGCCUUAACUUCAAAAUUCCAUAGAAUGUGGGAGACAUGAAAUAAGAAUGGCACAUGGGACUUUUGGCUAUUAGUUGACCAUGAAUAGCUCAGUGUGAUUCAAUAGUGAUAUGUAACUGCCCUCAAAAACUAUGAAAAGCUUAGAGUUUCAGCAGAGGAUGGUGUAUCUGUUAUGAGUGAGAUGAGAAGUCUCUCUCUUCAUGGCUGGUAGAAUGAAUCCAGAAUUGUCAACUUCACAUAAGUCUCAGAAUAUCCUCAACCCUGCCUGUUUUAGGUGAAACUAAUGCACCAAUUAUUUCAUUCAUUUACAGAGAAACUUAAGCUAAUAUGUACAUUCAGUACAAUAAGUAAUACAGACCCCUCAACAGAAAAAAAAAAACACCAGAAAUUAUCAAACUGAAUUUCUUCAAUUAAUUUCAAUUUAAUUUGUGUGGACAAAUAUGUAUUGGUUUUGACAAUAAAAUAUGUCAAAAUACUGUAGUGUUUAAAAUUCCCAUAUGGAAAUAUGGCACCAUGAUUGUAGCUUCUGAAUGAAAAACAGAGUUUUCAGUAAUUUGUACUCUUCUGACUACAUAGCAUGGGAAGUUGAGAAAGAAAUUCUUCUAGGUUGAAUACUGGAAAAAUCAUCAUCUGUUUCCUCUACUCAGUCACUAGUAUACAAAGAAGGACUUAAGCAGAUUUGCUGAUUAAUUUAUCGGUAUCUAAACAUUUUGUUUUCUCUUAAUUCAGUGGAUGAGCUAUAGUACUGGAACAUUUAUAGCUAAACUUUGUUAUUUGGUUAUUGUCCUUAUAAAACCAACUUUUGCUGAUAAAACAUAUUAACACUUAUGGAUGCUUUAUAAAUCCAAUAAUACAGCUUUGAGAGCAUUUACUCUGUUUCCCACAAAUUUUAAUAAGCCUGGCUCAGCUUUUUCGACUGAAGCAAAUGCACAGACCUCUACACUUCAACAUGAAGACCUCCAGUUCACAAUGUGCAUAUCCAAAGCACUGAUACUAAUGCUGUAUCCAGAGAUUUCAAUGGGGAGGGUAAUCUGUAAUAACAAAAUUGUAUCCCUUCCUUCCUGCAAUUACCUCACUAUCCUCACAGCCUUGACAUCUGGAAACCCACUGCUACUGUAGCAGCUGUGACUCCUCUCCUAGCAGGAAGUUAACUACACAUUCCAAAGAGCACCAAUUGUUUUGAUAUUUUCUGGCAGCUCAAAAAGCUUGGAUAUUGGUGAACACAUUAUUUUGUGGCAACCACAUUUUGGAAUUAUACACAAAUGUACAACAUGUCACAAUCUGAACAACUUACAGGUGUUAAUGUUGUCUUUCUCUUAAUGAUAUCAUAUUCCAAAUUUAAUCAUUUUAAAUAUAGAGUAGUAUGUUAGAGAAUUAAACCUCAUUCUGCUCAUACUCACUUCUGCCAUCAUUUUCUCAAAUGAUCAACACGGAAGAAGACUUACCCAAAAAUAUGCUCCUAUUUAAAUCAUUGGAAGAGAAUUAAUUAAUUUGAGUUAGAAAGUAAGUAUUGUGAGAAUCAUCCUGCUCUGUAUUUGCCCACGUAGCACCUCUGUUAGCAGAGAUUUUCAGAUACUUAUUAAUUUUCUAGAAAUCGAGACCUCCAAAAGAAGAGCAGAAAUAUUAAAUGUUGGGCAAAUCUAACUGCAUUUUAGUGUCACCAAAUGCCUAAAAUUAUUUUGUGUUUUUGAGCUGAUAAAUCUAUAUAUUUUUUAUUCAGAUUUCUCUUAUUCUUUAAAAAUAAUCAAAGGGAUGACUGCUGGAUUGAUUUACUGCAAAUUUAUCUUUGAAAUGGCUACAAAUAAUUGUUAUUCUCAUUUUAAGAGCAUUAGUGUCUUUUGUUCAUCAAAUUAAGAAUGAAAUGGAUUUUAGUACUGCCCUACAAUUACUUUGGUAAUCAAAAUGAUUGCCAAUGAUCUCCAAGAAACUAAACUGUCUUGCUACAGAACAGAUUGAGGAUUGUUUUGAUUCACAGGAAAGCUCUGCAAAAAUAUGAUUAAUUAUGAUUUUGAUUUAGUUUAUAAUUUUAUUUUUUAUUUCCGUUUUCCCUCUUCCCUACAUUCUUUUAAAAUAUGGCAAAGUUUUCCAUUGUAUAUUUUUAUUUGACCUAAUUUCCAAUUAAAUUUAAUAUUUCUCCUUGCUUAAUUAUUUCUUCUGGAAUUUUACACUCAUAGUGAUUAAAUCUCAAUCUCCUCUCUCUUAUUCUCUUUCUUUUUUUAUUCUCUUUUUCUAUCACACACAAUUUAAUAGUUCAUCUUAAGUGAUUUCUGAUGCCUUGUAUUCAGUGACUCUAAUUUCUAAUAUCCUCUUCUUGUUAAAAAUAUUUUUGCAAUGUAUUUAUAAUAUCUUUCUAUUACACUGAUUCUGUGUUAUGUUUAAGCGUUUGAUCACUUUUAUUCAAAUGUUCCUAUGAUAACCAGAAGAUACUGUGCAUUCUCAUAUUAUUUUAAUGCUCCAAUGUAUACUGCAGGCUUAAAUAACCAUAAAAGUAAUGUUUGUUUAGAAAGUGACUGGUUUGUUUACCUUCACUGCUGCAGAAAAUCUCACUAGGCAAUUUGCCUGGGGCUGAUACUUGUAACCAUUAGCAAUUAUGGAUUCUAGAAAGACGUUGAUAGGAAGUUUUUAAAAAGCUAUUUCAAAAUCGGACACAAAAAAUACAACACAUUUUCUAGGAUUGUUUUUCUUGCCAUUCAUGCUGCUUGCCUUUCUUAUCUUAACUAAAAUUCACUUUUCAUCAGCCUGCAAUGAGUCACAAAAAAUGCUGUAUCAAUCUUGGGUUGUUCCUGGACAUUCAUAGUCAGAUAAAUUAUUUUCAGAAUCAGCAAAGCAGAAUUAUUUUUAUAAAAUGGUGUCUUUACACAUCAUUGAUGUUUUGCAGAGGUCUGGACAAAACGCCAGUGAUGUACUUUUAAUUGCCAAGGGAUCCACUUACACAAAGGAGACAUGGGCACACCAUUCUACCGUCAGGGCACUCAUCAUUUGACUUAUGUAUUGGACUUUAGGGGAAACACAAAGAGGAUGCCUGGGACACUGUUCUCAUCCUCUAAAGUCUUUACUAAUAAUAUGUCAAAGUUGAGUAAUAAUACACACUAAGUAAAAGCUUUUCAACAGAAGCAUCUCCAUUAAUCUCCACUUUGGGCCAGACAGCAAACUGAGCCUCUGUUUCUAUUAAAUACAAACUGAUCUGAAAUAUUUAGAACAAAGAAAGCACAUCCUUUCAGCUAAAAGUUAUAGAUAUCCUUUGCUACAUGACAAAUGGUUAAAAUUAUCAAAUAUUUAUAACAAUAUGAUUGAAGAGUUCAGUUACAGGCUUUGAUUUUGACUGUUUGCUUGUUGAUGAGUGUUGUGCAGAAAUGCCCAAUAUGUUUGAAUUGCUUCACUUUGAGCAUGAUUUGUGCCAGAAAUAGUGCUGAUUAAGCUGUUUUUUUUUUCCUUUUUCUUACACAUUUAAAAAUCACUCUUUAUUUUCCAAAGACCUCUUGGUCAGAAACUUGCAUUCAAGAAUUUUGCUAUGCCAUAAUAUAAUAAAAUGUAUCAAGGCAGAAAAUAAAAUAAGCAGAUGAUUUAUGCAUAAGACGUUUUGCCUUUAAGCUAUUCAAACCUGACUUUAGUGAAGUUUAUUAUCAAAAGUUUCUCACCUGAUAACAUAAAUUUUGACAGAAUGGAAAUGUUAGUUUUAGCCAAUAAACAUACAGCCUUUAAUCAUCCCAAAAUUUUCACCUAGGAAAGAAACUGGAAAUAGUUCUUAAGUCUAAUUAGAAUGGAGAGAUAAGUAACAUUUUUAAUACUAGAUUUAAUCUUGGCAAAAAUAUCUGUAUCUCUAACUCAAACUCACUAUCUACUUUUUAAAAAUAAUAUUGCUCAUCUUUUAAUAUAAAGGAGAAUCACCAUAUAAGCCAUUAAGACCUAAAAUACACUGGGUGCUGGAAGCUAUCAUUGACAUACUGUCAUUCAAAAAUUACAUAUGUAUUUGGCAUAAAUGUAAUAGUUCAUGUACAAUGAGCCAUCAAGACUAUGUGCAAAUCCCAAGAACUACUUCCUUUUUCUAGUUUUCUUAAAGAAAUAAGACAUAAUGAAUCUAUUACGAGAAUCUCCCACAGUGUAGCUUCCCCUUAAUAAUGUAGUAUAUACAUUUAAAAUUACAAUGUAAUGCUUAAAAAUUGUUAACAUUUUACAAUUUUUUAAAUUUAGAGACUUGAUCUGGAGAGCAUUGGGUGUGAUUCUGCAAAUCAUGCAGCAUAUAUUUUAUUACAGACUUAGCUGCUGAGGUUUCUUACAGAGGUCAAAUGUGUGUGUUUAUGUUCUGCUUAGUCUUAUGACAAAAUAUAUCACUAUUGCUUAAAAAGAAAAACAUAUAAAGAAGAGAACUACAAUGUUCUUAACUCCUAGCCUACAAAUGCCACUAAGCUGUCCACAUCAAGACAUUUGAAGUUAGCGUCUCAUCAUUUUAAACCCAGAUGUGUGUAUUUUGGGCACAUUUUUUUGAGCACUACAUAAUCAUAAUGUAACCUAAAAUAACAAUGGAAGAAAACUAAGCUCUGCUUGAUAAAAUGCACUUUAUUUUACAUGGUGUUCACAGAAUGGCUUAGAUUAAAAAAAUGAAAUCUGUCUUAGUUUAAGACAGAAGCACAAAGACAUUUCCCUUCUGGACAACAGACUUUGGCAUUGCAAGAUCAAAGGAACAAUUUUAUCUGCAUUGUGACUACAGACCAAAAGAUUUUACAGUAUUCCUGUCUCCGUGCUAAAGCCUAUGUGUCUUUAAUGGCAUUUAAAUUAUAGCCCUCUGUAGCCAUGCAGUCAAAACACCACAUCAUCUGAUGGGACACCAUGUUAUAUUCUGUCAGUAUGUCUCAUUUAAAAAUUCUUCUAUACUGUACUUGCCCUCAUUUUUCUCUUCUGGAAGAAAAAUUGAGUAAACUGCCUUUUUAACUAGGUUUACGAGUUGAAGUAAUCAAGAUAGACAAAGACAUACUUUGGCUUACAUUAUUUUAACUUAAUAAAUUUAAACCAACUUAAAGAUUUUUUUUAUUCUUUUCAUUCUUCCACAUUUUUGUUUGUUUGAUUUUAGGAUUUUCUUCUCUCUAACGUAUCACAUGGCACAUGGCAUACUAUAGACUUUUGUGACAUGAAAAAUAAAAAUGUGUUCCCAUCAGAAAAUUAUAGCUAAAGCAUCGCUUUUUCUAAGCAAAGUAUUUUACGUUAAACUGAUUUAUAAUAGAAUGACUAUUAUAUAUAAAAGAAAGGAGCUGUUCUCUGAAUUCUGCUAUAGCACAUAAUGCAGAUGGUGUGUUUCAAAUGUCACUGGAGAGACAAGUUUUCAUUUGAAUAUGUACUUCUAACAUAAUGUUUAUUAUAGUAACUUAACAAUAAAAACUUGCUGAAAAUUAGCAUUUUACUCAGAAUAUUCCUGUACGUAUAAAAAUAAGAUAUUACAUUUUCUUGAUCUGCAGUCCAAUACUCUACUCCUGAGCUGUACACCCUCCUAGAUGUUACAUUUUCUACAGAAUCAAUGAGCUUUUUCUCAAAAAUAGAUAUAAUCAGGAAUACACAAUUAACCUACACCUUCCUGAUAUCCAAUAUUAUAUAUAUUGAUAAGUAGUUACAGCCAUUUGAAAAAGUAAAACAUUUUUUUUCAGGAGCAUAUGCUAGAUUAGUAACUGAUGGAUAACUUUGCUUUCAUGCUUCAGAAUACAACAGGGAGUUUCAUGCAUUUUUAAGAGUAGAUUUAAAUAACUUGAAAAUAUAAUGAAUUUUUAAAUCACAUGUUCAUUUUAAGAUUGAGAUGCAAUAUGCUUGUUGAGGAUAAGUGAUUUUAACAUGCCCAUGGGAGGCAUUUCUUUAAAGUGACACUAUCUUAGAUAAAAUCAACGGAGAAUAUUUAUGAGAAUAUGUAUAUCUGUUUUGGAAAAAGCCAACCAUUACAAUAUAUUGAUUCUGAUUUUGACUGACUUUUAUACCUAUUAUUUUUGUGUAGAAAAUCACAUCUUCUAUUUGCCACAUAUAGGGUAGAAAUAAAGGGGGCUACUGGAAACAUAACAGAUUUGAGGUGUAAAGUCUUUUUCUAAAUCUGGAAAUGCCAAGGAACCUUUGACAUAUUUUACUUAGCUGAGGAAUCAGGUAAAAAAUGCAGAAGGUAUUUAUUGAGAAUGGGGAUAAUUUAUUAUAACACUUUCUCAUUGAAUUAGGAUUGGAUGUCUCCAUACUUGGCUGACAUUUGAUAAGAAAUCAUUGUCAAAUAAGAAAUUAUUGUCAGAAUAUUGUGUAGCUAAGUGGGAACAUAUGAUGCAAUAUUUUCAUUAAAAUACUUUUUUUUUCUUAUUGGGAGCAAAAAAAAUCGUGGUUUUCAGAGGCAAAAGAAUAGAGUAGAAAGAACACUUUUCUUUGUGUGGAAAAUAGUUAAUUUUAUAUCCCCAUUCUCUUCUACCCUACAACACUAGGAUAAUUCCCAGAAUUAUUUCUGGAAAUAUGUUAUUUGAUAAAUACUAAAGACUAUGUGCAAUAUAACGAACACUUGUAAAUCUGUUAUCCAAUUUAAGAACUAGAGCAGCAUCAAAAUUGAUAAAGCAACCUCUGUACUUCUCUGCCUUCUCUCCCUCAGAGGUUACUAUUAUCAAAGUCUCCACGUACAGUUGUGCAGGUUGUGUACUUUACAAAUCUAGGGAAUGCCUACCCUUACAUACAGUUCUGAUAUGAACAAUUCCCCUUAAAGUGUGCAGCGCAUCACCUACACAGGUUUUCACGAUGGUUCUCCAUCCUCCUGAAUUUCAGGGUUACCUUUUCAAAUGAAAGUUUAGCUUGGUUUGAGCUUUACAAAAAUGGUAAUAUUUUGUACAUAUUCCUACUAUUACUGGCUUUUCUUCAGUCAAAAUAUGUUUCUAAUUGUCAUCUACAUUGUUGCAUAUAGUUUUAGGUUCAUUUUAUUCCUUGGGGUAUAGUAUUAAAUUAUGUAAGCAUUCUUAAUUUAUUUUUUGUCCUCCUUUUUGGACAUCUAAAUUGUUAUCUGCUUUGGAAUUAAGCAAGCUGUUGCAGCAAGUAUUCUUGUAUGCAUCUCUUGGUGCACAUGGGCAAUAAAUGCUCUAAAGUAUGUACUAGAAUAGAAAUUUCUGAGUCAUAGGUUUGUGGAUGGAUUAAGGGUAUAUAUGUGGAAGGUAAAACUUUAAAACUCUAAUGAAUAUAUAUGAAGCAUAUUAUGAUAUUAAUAUAAAACUAGACAAGCUUCCUUUUAAAAGACCUAAAUAUUUUCUAAUAUUAAAUACUUUCAUCAUUUUUACAAGUAUUAUUUAUACACAGGCAUCAAUUCUAUGUAUAAGUAGCUACUUGAGUGGUUUUAUAAAAUACCUGCCUUGCUAAACCAAUCAACAACCAUUCUCUCCAAAUCUAUUAUCUAGAAGAGGAAGCAAAGCCAGAAUCCAUUUUGGUUAUCUUAAUAUUAAUUAAACAAAUUUAUUUUAAACUCAGAAAAUGGAGAUCAAAAUUAAAGGACUGAGCCAAUGCAAAAAUGACCCAUUUCAUUUUUCUUCCCAUACCCUUUUCAAACCACUUUUGGAAAUACUAAAUAUUAACACCAAACCUGAAGAUUAUAAUUACAAUCAUAAGUAUAAGAAAGUAGAGAAUUGUACAGAAAAUUACUAGAUAGAUUUUUAUUAUUGUGGUAAAAUGUACAUGAUAUAAAUUUAACAAUUUUAACCAUUUUAAGUGUACAGUUCAGGGGCAUUAAGUAAAUUCACAUCAUUGUGCAAAAUCACCAUCGAUCAUCUCUACCUCUUCUAUUAUUUACCUUUUCAAACUAAAACUCUGUACUCAGUAUACAAUAACACCUAACACCUAUCCUGCCUCUUUCUAUCUCCUGUCAACCACCAUAUUACUUUCUGUCUUUAUAAAUUUGACUACUCUAGUUGUUUCAUGUAAGUGAAACCAUGUAAUAUUUGUCUUUUUGUGACUGACUUAUUUCACUUAGCAUAAUGUCUUCAAGUUUCAUCCAUAUUGUAGCAGAAUAUUCUUCAUUAAGGCUGAGUAGUAUUCCAUUAUCUGUGUGUGUGUGUGUAUAUAUAUAUAUAAUAUAGAUAUAAAAUCAGAAGAUAUUAUAUAUAUAAUCAUAAGAUUUUUAUAUAUGUAUAUCACAUUUCAUUUAUCCAUUCAACCAUUGAUGAACAGAGAGCAGUGGGUUGCUCCACCUUCUGGUAAUUGUAAAUACUGUUUAUUUGAACAGACGUAUACAAAUAUCUUUUUUAGUCUUUGCUUUCAAUUAUUUUUAGCUAUGAAGAUUUUUAAGAACUCCCAUUCGUUAUCAUCCUGGGCAGUUGCCAUCCUAGGUGUUAAAAGAAAACUCUGAGACUGGCCGGGCAUGGUGGCUUAUGCCUGUAAUCCCAGCAAUUUGAGAGGCUGAGGCAGGUGAAUCGCUUGAGCUCCAGCCUGGGCAAUAUGACAAAACCCUGUCUCUACAAUAAAUACAAAAUACACCACAGGGCAUGGUGGCAUGUGCCUGGAGUCCCAGCUACUCAGAAGGCUGAGGUGGGAGAAUCACUUGAACCUAUGAGACAGAGGUUGCAGUGAUCCGAGAUCGCACCACUGCUCUCCAGCCUGGGGAAUAGAGCUGGACCUUGUCACAAAACAAAACACCCUGAGAAUACUUUCUUUAGAUUGGCAGAAGGAAGGAUAGAGACAAUACACGUUUUAUAUAUUUUCUUUUACAAUAUUUUUGUUACUUGAAUGCAUUUAAUUUUCUAAAAAUGAACAAGUGUUAUUGAUACAGUAUCCAAAUUGCUAUAUUCUAAUUUCAAUAAUAUGAAACCAUUAGAAUUUUAAGUAUAGACACAAAGUUACUAAUUUGAAUAGCAGAUUUUAUAAACACUUUUUUUCAUGCUACUCCACUUAAUAAUGGGAUACAUUUGCAUGGAAUACUAAUCAAAAAAUACUUUAUUCUACUUCAUUAAUAUUUGCCAAUACAAUCAGAUGAUUAUUUGAUAGAUAAGCCAAUAGACAGAUAGAUAAAUGACAGAUAGAUAGAUAGAUAGAUAGAUAGAUAGAUAGAUAGAUAGAUAGACAGACAGAUAGAUAGUCAAGUCAGUCUGGCUCAACUCUUUCUUGACCAUUUUACAGGUGAUGAAACACAUUUUGAGAGGUAAAGUGUACAAGGCCCUUCAAUUAAAAAGUGGCAGUAUCAAAGUUCAAACUUUAGUCUUCCUGGUAUCAAAAUGCAUUUCAUCCACUAUAGAUUCUGCCUUUCUUAGCUAAAUGAAUCCUCACCAAAACACCAUGAAGUAGAUAGCGGAGUUGGCAGCUGUUCGUUUACUCUUGAGAAACAGAUCUUUGAGAUAUUAAAUAAUUACCUUAGGAUUUCAUAGCUGAUAAGUGGUAUAAUAAUAUCUCAAAUCUUCUGGCUUUUAAUGUAUACUUUUUCCAUAACCUGUGCAACCCAUGACCACCAUUUAGUUUUUACUGAUAUUAACAUAGAGUAUUUUAUCCCAGGCAAUGAAAUAUUAACUGUGUAUACUGAAUGCAUAUUUUAAAUAUUAAGUUAAGUAUAUAACUUGCCCUAUGCCAUAUUGCUUUAAUCAGGGGACUGAGCAUCACAUUUAGAUUUGAUGAGUUUGGGAAAAGUUCUCAAACAUCCAGACCCAUGGACCUUAAGAAUUACUGCAGAAAUCUCCUUCAAUAUAGUUAUAGGGAGCAUUAAUGCUUUUGUGGUACUAAACAUAUUUUUGAGCUUAGAUACAAAUCCUUCUUGUCCUGAACUGAUAGGGUAGGAAUUGUUUAGGUGCUUCAAAUCCAGAUCUUUCAGGGGUUGCCACCUAAACUCAUCUUUAUGAGUAACUCUAGAUAAUAAUACACUUUGGUAUCUUCCAAAGUGCUUAUCUAGGCAUGGAAAAGUUCAGUAAUUAUCAUGAGGACUGUUUGUAGUUUAGUUCUUUUUGAAUUUUAGUGAAUAGAAGUAUCAUUCAUGCCUUAACACAUGAGGGAAAUCCCCUAAAGGUAACUACUCAUUAUCCUUUGGGUUAAUCUAGUUUCAUGUCAAAGAACUGGACUAUCAUUUCCACAGGCUCAUGCAAAAAGAACAAGCACAGGUGUAGUGAAUUUAUCCUUCUCUUUAUGUGGCCUGAAAAUUUCACCCUGUAGUCACUUCAUCAAAAUAUCUUUGCUCCUUUCAUCAUAAUUAUUUCCAAAAAGAAGGAGCAAAAGGCACUGUUAAUUUUUAAAUGUGGAACUAUGAAAUAAAUAAUAGUUCACAUAAUAAUUCAUAAAAUAUGAAUGGUACUCUUUUAAAAAAGUCCCAGAACCCCUUCCUGUAUUUCUCUUAAAAAAACGCAAUACUAUUACAUCUUUGUUGUUACAAGAGUGUUUAUCACCUUUACAACUACUGGGCUUCAUUUUCAACUAAAGAGAUCUAUAUUCUAAACCUAUCAGUAAUACCUAUGCUAUAACAAGCUCUUAUCAAUGCUCAUAUAGUGCCUGUCUCCUAGAGCAUACAAUUUUAGAUUCAUUUUGCUUUUAUUAAAUUGAUUUCACUUCCUCCAACAUUUUUAUUUCAUUAGCGCAAAACAAAAUGGAGCUUAAUGAUUCCUUAAAGCUGAAAUAAAGGACAAAACAUUUUGUUGGUAAAAAGUAGUUGGUAAUAAUGCUAAAAUAUUUUCAGAUACAACUAAAAUGGAGUUGACUAGAAAAAAGAGAAACGUAAUUUGGAUAUGAACAUUAAUUUAAAAAUGCAAACAUUUUGAAAUAUUAGUACAACACAAUUUUAUUUCUGAAUGAGAAUGGUUAUUUGUCUUCAUGUCUUCAUCAUUUAAAUGAAUAAACUUUGUUUUUCUUAUCAUGGAACAACUAAUUGCAUUGAAGUUUUUCCACAUAAAAUAGAAAUAGUUAUCUCUCAGACAUCAAUUUUGUAAGAAGCCUGCUGCCAUUGAGCACUGAUAUAGUCAUUUAUUUUGGAAGAGCUGCAUUCUGACUAUGAGAAAAUACUUCUCCAAGAUCAAUUUGCCUUAAAGUUUGGGAAGUGGCCAUUCUUUUAUAUGAUACUCUUCCUCCCACUUCAAAAUAUUUACUGUAAAAAUAUACACAAAAUGUGAGACCCAAAAUGUUUUAAAAACUUGAACAGUUUGGAGGCAACCAAGACAUAUAUUCUAAAAUAUUAUGAAGGCAGGUGAAUAAAUAAAGGCUUCGAUUUAAAAAUAUGGAAGGCAGUCAAGUAAACAAAGAAAGAAAAAGAACAAAGUGGGGAAAUAAUACAGGUGUCUGUGGUUGUCAUUGCUCAGAAUAUGAGGAUCUGUUUGGAAAAGGAAAAUAAAGCAUAUUGACUUAUUAGUUCACUUCUAAAAAUACAUACUACUUAAAGCAAGGCAAUUAUAUAAUUUAAAAAAUAGAUACAUAUGCAUAUUACUAAAAUAUAUACAUAUAUAAUAUAAAAUUACAUAUAUACAUACAAAUCAAAACCAUCAGUGCAAUAAUUCGUUUGCUUUUUAGAAACAAUCACUAUCAUAUGCAAUUAAUUUCAUGUUUGAAUACAGUAUAUUGAUAGGCACUACAGUUGUUUCUAGAAUGAAGUCAUUAUUUUAUGUUGGUAAUGUGGUUUGGCUUAACGUAGUUAAAUUUAAAUUUAACUAAAUAUACUUAAGAAUUAACUCAAAAUUUUAGAUUUGAAAGUACCUGAAAUUGUCCAAUAUGGUCAAAGUCUAGACAUUACUUCUUUGCAUUUGCAUUUUACAUUUUUUUCUUUUUGACUUAUCUGUUUUGAAGUGGAUUUCUACUAAAUUUCCGUACUGCAUUUUAUAUGGUGUUGCUGGAAACUAUGUAUUGAUUUUUUUCCUAUGGCUUCUGUGGUAGAGGAACUAAUGUGCAACUGACCUUACAAAUGAUAUUCAACAACUCUAGAGGAAAGACACAUCUCCAGUUAAAAAUGAAGGGUGCACAUGGGUUACUCAACAUGUGAGUCAUCAAGAAAUGCAAUACUGUGCAAUGACUGGUGAAUCACAGUCUCUAAAGGAAGCUUUUUGAGAUUUUUACACAGAUGGCUAUGCAAAGCAUAAAUAAGUGUGAGGAGGAAGGGAAAAGAAAGGAGGGAAAAAAUAAAUGUGUGGGAGGACAGGCAACUGCAACUUUCAUUGUUCUUUAUUUUCUUGACCAUUGAACUAACUACUUAGAUAAACCCUACAACUCUUCUCUUCAAUUGCCAUUACAUGUCCACAUAGCCUUUUAAAAACUCUAAAUUUCACCUCAUUCGAUUUAGAAUUUUUUUUUUAACUUUACACCUUGUAAGUGAUUUGGGGAAUGAGUUUCUGUGUUGUUUACAUAAUGCUCUUGUCUAUGCUGUGAUAGGCUGCGUGAGAGCAGGAACCCCACGCCUUACAGUCUACAAAGACCCAAUACAGGAUAGAAAGUAGAGGGGAGGAAGGAAGGCCUCCCAAAGUUAUUUUUACACCUUUAUAAUUUAUUCCAAUAAAUUUUUAAACUCUGUCUCUUGCUUCUCCACCUUCACUUGUCACAAUUCAAAUCAAGUUGAAAAUAUUUUAAAAUAACAAACUGAUUGGCUGGGUGCAGUGGCUCACACCUUAAUUCCAGCACUUUGGGAGGCUGAAACAGGAGGAUUGUUUGAGCCCAGGAGUUCAAAACCAGCCUGGACAACAUAGGGCGAACCUAUCUCUACAAAAAAAUACAAAAAUUAGCUGGGCGUCAUGCCAUGUGCUUGUGGUCUCAGCUACUUGGGAGACUGAGGCCAGAUAAUUGCUUGAGUCAGGGAGGUUAAGGCUGCAAUGAGCUGUGGUCACACCACUGCACUUCAGCCUGGGAAACAGAGUGAGCUCCUGUCUCAAAACAUAAAUAAAUAAAUAAAUAAAUAAAUAAAUAAAUAAAUAAAUUAGAAGCUGAUUAACUUUUACUGUAACCCAUACAGUAGAUGUAUCACUGACCAUGUAAAAUAUAUACAACUCAGAUAACUUUGUGUUGCAAUUGUCUAGACAUUCUGCUGCCCACAGAAUCAGGUCCACACUCCCUUCCAUGGUAUUAAAAGUUGUUCAUAUUCUGAGCCCAGAAAAUUUAGCAGCUUCAAACAUCCUUCUUCUCCCUCUACUCACUUUGUUUUUCAGUGACACCAGUCUAAUAUUUAUGUGCUCUUUUUCUAACAUAUGAAUUGUUAUACCAAGUUGCCCCCCUUAAUAACCCUUUUUUUCUCACGUGCCUUGUCUGUUUCUCUUCACAGAUAAUGUCUACUCAUCUCUUUGGUAGAUAAGAACUAUUCAAACCUUUCCAGAGUGUUUUUGGGGACUUAAUAUUUAAAGAUACGAUACCAUAAAAAGAGAAAAAAAGAUUUAGGGGUUAUCUAGCCCAAUCUUUUCAUUUUGUGGCUAAGGAAACUGAAGCACAAAGAAAGAAUACUGCCCAAAGUCAUACAGUAAUAAAUUAUACAAUCAUGACUAACUAUCUAUGACUUGCCAGUCUCUAUAGCAGUGAUCACAUGAGCCUUUGAUUCAGAUGGUUCUGGCCUUAACCUUGAGAACUUCUGGACGUUACCUCAUGUAACCUUUCUGAAUCUAAAUUAAAAUUGGGAAUAAAAAUAUCCAGAAUAGUGAUUUGUCUUCCGUGAUUACCAGUUCAGUCAUUUAAUCUACCCACAACAUGUUCUUACUUUCCGAGAGAACUGGAAGCUACCGUAACAGCAGAAGAUAUUAAUUAGAACACAGAUUGUGGUGGUAUACAUAUAUACAUGUAUUUUUUUUUCAAAUUCAAAUAUUAAGCCCACUACUUACCACCGUGGUACUCUGGGCAAAUUAGUUAAAUGUGUGUCAAUUUCCUCAUUGGUAAACUGAGAAUAAUUAAUUUGUUUAAUGCAUUCAAACAUAUUUAUUCAGAGAUUUCUAUUCUAGGCUAUAAGGAUUUAGUUGUAAACCACACAAAUAAAAUACCCGUUGCAAUGGAGCUUCCAUUCUGGUAGUAGGGGACACAUAAUAAACUGACAGACUAAUGAUACCCGUCUUCUCCUACCUGCAUAGUGCAUGUGCAUGUGCUGUCUUCUUCCUGGAAUUUUCUUCCCACAGAAAUCUGAAGAGUUAGCUCCCUCUCACCAUUCAAAUUCUUGUUUAAAAGUCACCUUCACUGGUUACCUACUUUAAAUUUAAAUCCCACCCUCAUCACAGUUCAUAUUCCCUUUCCUGUUCUAUUAGUUUUCAAGUGUUAGUCCUAUUUUUUUUCUAAUACACCACGUCUUUUACUUAUUUAUCUUUAUGUUUCAUCUUUCUCACUAAACUGUAAACUGCAUGAGCCCAGGGACAUUUGUCUAUUUUGCCAUCUGCCAUAUCCCAAGAUCUUAGAACAGUGCCUGGUAUGUAUCAGCUGUUUGUUACCUAUUUACUAAAGGACUGAAUUAGUAUCUAAUGUAAUAUUCUAUGGUGAUAUUUGCAAUUAAGCAAAACAAACAAACAAACAAAAAACCACAGUAAGUUGAUAGAGUAAGUAAGGUACUAUUACCUUACUUACCCUGAGAGGGUAACUUUUGACUAGAGACAUGAAUGAAGUGAGAAAAAUGAGUCAUGGUUCCAACUAAUGGUCAAGCAUUCUAGAUAGAGACAACAGCAUGCGCAAAGGCCCUGAGGCUAUUUCAUAUUUAGCAUGCUCUGCAAAUGGAAAAGAAGCAUUUGUGACAAGAGAAGAGUGAGUGAAAAGAAGAAGAUGGGAAACAAAAUGCGAGAAACAGUUCAGACCAUUCAUAUAAGCUGUGGUGAGGACUUUAGAUUUAAUCAUGUGACUGCCUACCAAGAUGUAGUGUUGAGAGGUAUUGAAGAGAAAGCAUGUAUAAUUCUGUUCUCAAGCUGCUGAUAAAGACAUACCUGAGAUUGGGUAAUUUAUAAAGGAAAGAGGUUUAAUGGACUCACAGUUCCACAUGGUUGGGGAGGCUGCACAAUCAUGAUGGAAGAUGAAGGAAGAGCAAAGGGACGUCUUACAUGGUAGGAGGCAACAGAGCUUGUGUAGGGGAACUCCCAUUUAUAAAACCAUCAGAUCUCGUGAGACUUAUUCACUACCAUGAGAACAGUACAGAGAAAACAGCCUCCAUGAUUCAAUUAUCUCCACCUGACUCUGCCCUUGACACGUGGGGAUUAUUACAAUUCAAAGGUGGAUAUGGGUGGGGACACAGCCAAACCAUAUCAGAGCACUUAGCAGAAUAGCAGGCAUGCACACAAAUAUUCAAUGCAAGUUAUUUAUUACCAUGGACUGAUUCACAGUUAUAAGUUACAAACAAGGACAAUGAAAAGUGAAGAGAACACUUAAUUUCAUUCCCUAUGUAUAUACUUGACGUGAACAAUGCAAAACACACAGACAGAAGGCAACUUAGGUUUGAAAGGGAUGUGUGUAAAGUUUUACUUAAGAAAGUAUGUAAAGACUAGUAAAAAGAUGUAUUGGGCCCGGCUGAGGCAGGAGAAUGGCGUGAAUCCGGGAGGCGGAGCUUGCAGCGAGCCGAGAUAGCACCACUACACUCCAGAGCUGGGCAGCACAGUGAGACCCCAUCUCAAAAAGAAAAAAAAAAUAUGGAUUGUAGUUAUUUUCAAAAAAUGCACAUUACACGUAGCAGUCACACUCAGAACCUGAAAUAUUUUAGUCCUAAUCUGUGUUAUCGAUUUUUCUGCACUUACACUCUUAUAAUAUAUAGCUGAAUUUUAUUAAAUAAUGAGUCAAUAGAAUAACAAUAGUAUUCUGUUCACAGAAUUUGUUUAUUUCAAGCUACUGUUUGUUCUCAUAAACACUCCAAAAUAUUACCAGACAGUUCAUUUCACCUCUUUAAAAUGCCUUCCCUUGGAGGAAAUGAUCCAGUAUUGUUGAUUACCUCAAUCUAAAUUCUAUAUAUAUUUAUAAUUAUUCUAAGCCAGAAAGUGAAAGGUAACUUUUAAAAUAUUAUGCUUUAUUAUAUGCCUUAUCAAUGAAGACUUUUUUAUUCAUUAUUAUUUUCUACAUUCAGCACAUUCUCUGGAAUUUUCAAUAAACAUGAUGACAUUUCUGAAGAGAAAAUUUUUAAAUCACCAAGUAACUCAUUGUGAAGGUGGCUAUCAUUUCAAUGUAACACCAAAGUAUCUUCUUUCAACCUUACCUGAGAAAGAGGAAAGUGUUUUCAUACACACACACACACACACACACACACACAAAAACAAAAUCCGAGUUUUUGAGGAUUUUUAAAACUAGAAGCCAUGCUUAUACUUUGUUAUUUAGUUCAAUUCUUUAUGUAAGAGUAAGCAUCUAGUACACUUAGCAGAUUUUGUCAUAUUAAAAAGCAUGUGCUAUAUUUAGUUCCAAAAGGAGUUACAGAAAUUGAUUGAAAAAAUUCACAUGAAGUUGGUAGAAUAUAUAGGCUUUUAAUUAUUUUACUUGUCUAAAGGGUACAUCAAUUAGACAGACUCCUACUAUACACCAUAAAUUAAUCCCAUUCAUUCUAAAAACUUGUUCAUUUUUUCACAACUUUGAAAUUUGGUUGUCCUAAUUAAUCGCUGUUAUAUAAUUCAGGCACUGGAGCCUCUGCAAGGGCUGCGUUUUUCCAGCUUGUAAUCACACAUUCAACAAACAGCCAAGUGCUGCGGACAAUGGGUCCUUCACGCUCCUCUGAGACAGACUUUCUGUCUCUGAUUUAUGGGCUGAGUCCUUCUUGAGAGAAAUGCCUGGUUGGGGACAAUGCACAGCCUAAGGCGGAUUACUUGCCUUGGUUUUUGGCCAUAUCAUCUGAAAACUGUCACUUGAGCACGGGCAAAGCUAAGAGGCCCCUUGGAAUAUUCCCUAGAAGAAACAAAUCCACCGCAUGAUCAGCCUCUUCAGGUUACAUCUGCUUUUUAAAAUCCCAGCGCUGAGAAGUGCGCUGUACCCAGGGGCUCUGAUUCUGCAUUUCCUCACGGAAGGCAAAAGAGCCUGCAGCAAAGGACCCUGGUGGAUGUGAAUGAACACUGCCAACUCAGGCCUUCCCAGCUCAUUAGACGCAGCAAAAAGGGUCAGCCCUUGCCAUCCUGAAAUUUGCUGUCAGAGUUCUUGGACUACAACAUGACUGUUCCCUGCUUCAAACAAACGGAAAAUGAUUCUUAACUUAGGCCAUUCUUAAUUUAAAUGAAUACAUUUUAAAUGAAAUGAAUUUAAAAUGAAAAAAAAAAGUAUUCUAUCUGACCUUUCCUAAUUAUUUUCCUUUUAUUUUAUAUAAUGAUGCAGAGAAAUUACUUACAGUGAGUGUUUCAUAAAACAAACAUAGAAAGCAAAAACAAAACAAAAACAAAAAAAAAUCACCUAGAACUUCAUUGAUUUUGGGGAAAUCUACUGCCUAAAUCAUCUCAGCAAGAAAUCCUAGAGAAAAAGGCAGCACAUUAUUCUGCCCAUUGAUUCUUCUGGUAAUUGCAGUGGCACGAAGAGGGCCAUGACUCUGCCACAUAUGCCAACAGGGAUCCAGGACCCGUUCUGAUGUCUGACAAUGCACACGGAUUUUAUAGAGAGAAUUGCAGACCUCAGAAAUGAGCUUUGUGCCUGGACAGACAAGAAUUCAGAAAAUUUCUGUUGUAUGGAAUUCCCACUUCUCAUUUUCUAUUGUUCUGUAGACUUAGCAAAAUUUUACUUUUUUAAGAGUCUAAUUAUUUAUAUAUUAAUGUAUAUAGGUUGGGCUGGAGGUAGGAGACAAGACAGAAAAGCAUAAAUAACUCUCAAAGUGAUAUAAUAGUCAACAAAUUACCUAAAUAUCUAUAUUAAUAUGAAAUGUUGGUAAAUAUCACAUAAGUAUCUCUCACAUGGAUCCAAGAUAAUUUGAAUUUUUUUACAUUUUUUAAAGAUAUCAAUUAAUAAAUGGGAAGAUAUAUUGAAAAAAAUACUAUUUUAAGGUCUGAUGUAUAUUUCUGCAAGGUAAAUUUUGGCUCUGUCUUCAAGUCUUGGUUUACCAUUCACCAUUUCAAAUAUUGAAAAAUAAGUGAUUUAUUUGAAGAAGAGAAGGAGGAGGAAGGGAGAAAAAAUAUUGAGAAGUUUAAGAACCAGGUAAGCAUUUUAUUUAUUACAAAGAAUAAAGCAUUCAACGCGUUGUCUCACAUAAAAUAAUACAGAAAAAUCCGUUAAGUGUCCUUGCUCUUCAGAAGAAAACAAUGAAUGGAUGCUGAUGUUUUACAACAUUUUGAGAUCAAAUGUAUUUCCUUGUGGCUCUCUGAGAGACAGAAGGGAAGGGCUGGAGAUACUGGCUUUCCAUGGGUACUGGUGUGAUGACACUGAUCUGAAGGCACUGCAAAGUUUUAGAUUCUUGAGUGUACUUGUUAAAUAAAACAAAACAAAAGAGAGAGAAAAAAAUUAGAAUAGGGCAGUAAGUUUGUAUUGUUAUAAUGAAACAUUGUAACACUCUAGGUAUUAUCUCUGCACUGACAUAGAAUAAAAAUAAACUCAUAAGAUGAAUCAAAAAAUGGAACAAGAGCUGAAGCAAUAAUCAUAGUCUUAAAAGUUGGGAAGAGACUUUUUGCCCAACCCAUAAAUUUCACUGAGCCCCUAAAAAAGAGGAAAUAAUUAUUAGAAAUGACUCCAGAUUAUACAUUGACUCCUGGCUCUGUCUUUAUAUUUUUGUGGGGUUUUAGGCAAGUCUGUUACAUUUUCUUAGUCAUCAUUUUAUGAAAUUAAGUGCUUCUAUUAGACUAUGUGGUUAACAUCCAAAGAACUAGAAAUUUAAGAUAAACUAUUUUGAUAAGGAGUAUAAUCUAGGUAGAAUAUUCUUUAUAAUAAAAUAAAUAGAAUUAGUGUGGAUAGGUUUUCAUUAUUACCUGAUAUUAAUUUUAGGGUUACUUCUUAAGAUUUCUUUUUUAUCACAGAAUCUGUAUAGUUGUAUAGUUAAGUGAGAAAUAACCCAAAUUUAUACUCACUUUCAGCUGAUAAUCUAUAAUCAAAGUAAUGCCUAAAGUAUAAUAUAGGCUUUAUUAGGUAUCUACUUCUUACAUUGACAUUAUCUGAAAUUAAACCAUAGACUUAUAUAAUUUUCAGUUUCACAAAAGAAAACCAAAAUAAGCAAUUUAAAAUAUUUUUUUCUUAAAAUAAAGCUGCUAUUGCAUAACAUAUAUUUGACUAUAAAUGUAACCUGUUAGCUAAUGGGACAUGUAAGUACUAUCCAAUUGUCCAAAUAUAAAACUCUGCAGUGGUAGUAAGUACAAGAGUUUAUUCCUGCUCAGCUCAGGUAUGGAAUCUCAAGAGAGCCGUUGUUUAGAUUAAAGAACAAAAAAAAAGACUCCAGUCAAUCCAUUAGUAAAUAUUCUCUCAAUUCAUACAGGAAAGGUAGAUGUUUAGGUGGUUCCAGAUCAGCCUUGCCUUUAGCCCUUAUGUCCCUUGAUGCUCAUAGGCCUCUCCUGGCUGUCUAC